CGAACGCUGGCGGCGUGCCUAACACAUGCAAGUCGAGCGGGGUUAUUGGGGUUCAGCUUGCUGAACGCCACUGACCCAGGCGGCGGACGGGUGAGUAACGCGUGAGCAAUCUGCCUCAUACAGGGGGAUAACAGGCGGAAACGCCUGCUAAUACCGCAUAAGACCACGCCACCGCAUGGUGGAGCGGUCAAAGGGUGCACAGACGAGAGGCUGUGCAUACCGGUAUGAGAUGAGCUCGCGUCCCAUUAGCUUGUUGGUGAGGUAACGGCUCACCAAGGCGACGAUGGGUAGCCGACCUGAGAGGGUGAUCGGCCACACUGGGACUGAGACACGGCCCAGACUCCUACGGGAGGCAGCAGUGGGGAAUAUUGCGCAAUGGGGGGAACCCUGACGCAGCAACGCCGCGUGAGCGAAGAAGACCUUCGGGUCGUAAAGCUCUGUCAUAGGGGAAGAGGAGAAGACGGUACCCUAUGAGGAAGCCCCGGCUAACUACGUG
This 496-nucleotide ribosomal RNA is filed under the name uncultured bacterium. Its description in RNAcentral is "bacterial SSU rRNA". It matches the Rfam family "Bacterial small subunit ribosomal RNA", at positions 30 to 507 of the family's 1533-position model. The record is from RNAcentral.